ACAUAUUUAUUUCAAUUAAAAAUUUCGAUUAAUAAUAUUUUCAUUAAAUUAUGAAAUUAUGUUUUUAUUAAAAUUCGUUACUUAUAAAUGAAUUCUUAUAAAACAUAUUAUUUAUAAAAUGUUGAUUUUAAUUCAUAUAUUUAUUAUUUUGAAAUUAUUGAUUUUAAAUUAUUUAUCGUUUUAAAUAACUAAUUGAAUGAUUUAAUAUUCUGAAAGAAAUCGGACUUGGAGCUCGGGAAGAACGAUCCAUCAGACGGGAAGUAUAAAACUACGGUUGAGGUACUGCGGGGAACGAUGGACGCGAGUAGUGGCGAGGAAUUUCACUUUAUUAUUAUUCACCUAGUUUAUGCGUAAUGUUUUAAUAGUUUAAUUAAAGAUUCUUAGUAAGUUAUGUACUUUUAUUUUGGGAAAAUAAAGGAUUAUUAUAUUAA
Spinacia oleracea (spinach) is the source of this 431-nucleotide long non-coding RNA. RefSeq lists it as uncharacterized. The record is from RefSeq and is a predicted model, not a curated record. The transcript has 2 exons. NCBI's taxonomy places the organism in Eukaryota, Viridiplantae, Streptophyta, Magnoliopsida, Caryophyllales, Amaranthaceae.